CUAGGAUUUAGCCACGCCCUUCAUUCGUUACUGUGAGGAUUUUCAGAACAGAGGUUGUGGCAGUUUCAGCAUCAAAUACCUGUUAAAGAAGAAAAGAUAGUUGAACUAGAAACAGAAAAUGCUGUUCUGUCCCUGAGAUUGGCAGAGAUAACGAAGUAAUGUUUUGCUCUGACCAAUGAGCCACAGGAAUGGCUCUAGAUGUGGUCAUCGUAUACUACCCUGAAAGAACCGCCAGAGUUCCAGGACGGCCACCUUUCACUUAAGCAAACUUGUCCACAGACUGUGUGGGUCCCAUCAGCUGAGAGUAGCCUUCACAUUGCAGUGAUGUGCAUAUUUCUGCUUUUCAGCCACGAUGGACUUUAGGAUCUUCCCUGAGGACCCUACACGAACCACAGGUGACCUGGAUGCAGAAGUCCUACCUGUAGCUGCCAUCCUGGGCAUAAGUCCCUCAGUGAGUGAAUUCCAGAUGGUUCUGUCUAAAGCAGCAUCAAGCAGGGUGGUGGGAUAGAAUGACAGUUGUGAGCAGUUCCCAUCGGCAUCAACUGUACCACAGACCCAGUCUCAGUGUGACACAGAAGACGACUACCUGGAAAGUAUGUCCUCUCUCUAAGGGGACAGUAUAAUACAAUACUCUGGACUGCAGGUCAGACAAGGCCUGUGUUUAGGAGACUUGUGGACAGAUGAAUGUCUGUGAGUCUGGACUUAGACUCUGUGGAGGCCUCAGGUCACCUGACUGUCCUGAAGCUUCCCACUGUGAUUUAUUUCCCUCCUACAGAGUCAGCCACCUGAGCAACUGCAUUUCCUGGUUAUCCCCUAAUCCACUUACACUGUGUAGAGUGUCCAGUCUUAGGGAGGGCCUGGGAAUCUGAGAGACACCACUGAGCCCUCUGGGCCUGGCUGACUCAACUUGAGGCUACUCUGUGUGUCUUCAUUUUGCUCACCCACCAGAGACCUCAAAAGUCAGCAGUAAAGUUGCUGAGAGGCCAGGAGCCUCCAUAUUGACCCAAGAGCAAUUGUCCUCUUUUACAGGUUCAUCCACAGAGCACGUAAUUCUGAUUGGUGCAACAGUCUGGAAGAGUGAAAGAUAUCAUCUCCCAAGGGCAAGUGCUGUGCUAGUGGACACUGAGGAGCUGCAGGGAUCAGACCCCUCCCCAUCCUUCUCCAGCCUCUCUUGUUCUUUCUUGAGAUGUUUCCUGCAGACCUGAAAGAUCCAUGCAGUCCAUGACAUGGGUUUCAAUUUAAUCUCAGGACAUUUUAUUCAUUGCCCAAAAACUAAGACCAGAUAAAAUUUAUUCAUUCAUUCAUUCAUUCAUUCAUUCAUUCAUUCAUUUCUUAUAUAUAAGUACAGGGUAGUUGUCUUUAGAAACAACAGAGAGGUCAUCAGAUCUAAUUAGAGAUAUUUGUGAGCUGCCAUGUGGUUGCUUGGAUUUGAACUCAAGACCCCUGGAAGAGCAUUCAGUGCUCUUAACCAUUUAUCAAUCUUUCCCAUUUCCAAGGUAACUUUUUUACUUUCAACAAGGUAUUCUUUAUUCAGGUUACAUCCUGAUCCCAGCUACUCUCCCUCUUCCCUUCCCAGUCCCACCAUACAAAUCCUUUCUAACAAUACUCUCCCUUCUCUUUGGAGAUGGGGAUACUCCCUGGGUACCACACCACCCUGGGACAUCUAGUCCCAGGUGGACCGAGCACAUUCUGCCCCACAGAUUUACAAUCAGGCAGUCCGGGUAUGGGGAAGAGAUCCAAUGGCAGGCAACAAAGACUGAGACAGUCCUGGAUCUACUUGUCAGAUGACCCACAUGGAGACCAACUGCAGAUAGCUACACCAGGCUCUGGAGUUGGUUGCACAUGCUCUAGUAUACAUGGUCCAAAGUAUCUGACUGUAGGGGACUUCUUGUAGUGUUUUUGACCCCUCUAGUUUGCUCACAAUUCUCCCUCACUCUUCCACAAGACUUCCCAAGCUCCAUCUGAUGUUUGGCUGUGGGUUUCAGCUUGUGGAUGAAGCCUCUUCAGAGACAAGUAUGUUUCUUUUCUGUCCACAAGUAUAUCAGAGUAUCAUAAAUACUGUCAGAGGUUAUCUCUGUCACAUAGAUGAAUCUCACUUUGGGGCAGUCAUUGAUUGGUUGUUCCCUCAAUCUCUGCUAUAUCUUUAUCCCUGCACAUUCAUUAGCAAGAUAGAUUUUAAGUUGGUGCUGUGAGUGCAUUGAUGUCCACUUCCUCGUCUAGAAGUUCUUUCUUGCAACAAGAGGUAGCCAUUUCUGUCUCUUGCUCUGGUAGGAUUCUAACCUAGGGUCACCCCCGUAGACUCCCCCUAUGCUCUCCCUUACCAGCCAUCCAGCAAGUCACCAGAGAUCCCUGCUCCCUCCUGCCCAGAAAAUUUGUAUUCCCACUCCCAUCCCUCUCCCAAACCCCUCUCCCUUGACCUGAUCACUAUUUCCGUCUCCUUUCCUGCCUCUUCUCUUAACCUGUUCCAUCACUUCAUCCUUCUGAGGACUAUUUUGUUUUCCCUCUGAGUGAGAUUCACACCUCCUCAUUUAGGCCCUCCUUCUUUCUUCUUGUCUAUCUAUCUGUUAUCUUACACUGUAUGAUAAUGUCCACCUAUAAGUGAGUACACACCAUACGUUUUUCUGUGGUUCUGGGUUUCCUCACUCAGGAUAACAUUCUAAAGUUCAUCCAUUUGCCUAAAAAGUUCAUAAUGUAUUUAUUUUUAAUAGCUGAAGAGUAUUCCUUUGUAUAGAUAUAUACCAUAUUUUCUGUAUCCAUUUUUCAGUUGAGGGGUAUUUAGGCUUUUUUUAGUUCUUGGCUAUGACAGAUAAAACCAGUAUGAACAAAGUUCAUCAAGCAUCCUUGUGGGAUGGUGGGGCAUCUUUUGCGUAUAUGUCCAGGGGUUGUUUUGCUAAGUCCAGUGGUAAAACGAUUCCCACUUUUCUGAGAAACUGCCAAUAUGAUUUUGAAAGUGGAUAUACAAGUUUGCAAUCCAAGCAGCAAUGGAGGAGUAUUCCCUUUUUUCCACAUCCUCACCAGCAUGUGCUGGAUGUCACUUGAGAUUUUUAUUUUAGUCAUUCUGAUUCAUGUAAGUUGGAAUCACAGGGUGCUUUUGAUUUGGAUAUACCUGAUGACCAAGGAUGGUGAACAGUUCUUCAAGUGUCUCUUGGCCCUUCGAAGUUCCGCUGAUGAAUUUAGCUUUGCACCCCAUUAUUAGAUUAGGAUAUCUGGUUUCUUGUAGUUUAACUUGUUAUUUAUGUAAUUUGGAUAUUAGUCUUUUGUGAGAUAUAGGCUUGGUGAAGAUCCUUUUCCAACCUGUAGUCUGCCAUUUCUCCUAUCAAGUGUGUUCUUUUCCUUACAGAAGCUUUUCAGUUUCAAGUUUCGUUUAUUGUGGAUCUCAAUAUCUGAGCACCACUGGGGUUCUGUUCGGGAAGUUGUCUCCUGUACCAAUGUGCUCAAGCCUAUUUUCCAAUUUCUCUUGUAUCAGGUUUGACAGAUAAGGUUUUAUGUUGAGGUCUUUGAUGCAAUUGGACUUGAGUUUUGCAGAGCUUUAUACAUUAGGGUCAUUGCAUUCUUCUUUAUGCCUGUAUCCAAUUAGACCAGCACCACCUGUUGAAGAUGCUUUCUUAUUUUUGUCAUAUGAUUUUGCCUCCUUUCUUGACAAUAAGCAUCCAUAGUUGUGUGGGUUUAUUUCAGGGUCUUGGAUUUCAUUUUAUUGAUCAAUCUGUCUGUUCCUAUACCAAUACCAUAUAGUUGUAUUACUAUAGCUCUGUAGAACAGCAGUAAAUCAGAGAUGGUGAUUCCUCCUGAAAUUCUUUUAUUGUUCAGGAAAGUUUUAGCUCCCUGUGUUUGUUAAAUAUUUCACUUGAAGUUGAGAAUUGCUCUUUUAAGGUGUGUAAAGACUUGUUUUCAGCUUUGACAGGUAUUGCCUUCACAAUUUAGAUUGGUUUUAGUAAGAUGGUAGUUUUCAAAUUAUUAAUCCUACCUGUCCAUGACCUUUCUUAUGAUAUCUUCUUCAAUUGCUUUAAUCGGAGAUUAAAUUUUUUGUCAUACAGAUCUUUCCUUUUCUUAUAAUUGCACUGAGGCCUUUUUGUUAUAUUAUUUGUUGCUAUUGUAAAUAGUAGUGUUUCCCUAAUUUGUCAGUCCCUUCAUUGUUUGUUUAAAAGAGUCCUACUGAUUUUUUUUAGUUAAACUUGUAUCCAUAAACUUUGCUGAUGGUGUUUAUCAAAUGUAGGAGUUAUCUGUUCUUUUUAGCUUUGUCAGUCUUGGACCCAGAGGGCAGAAUGAAGGGCUGUAAAGAUGACAGGGUGUUUCCUCUAUCCUAUCUUCUCCUUUGUCAUUCCAAGGGCAGUAAGCCUAGAAAUUACCUUUCCAUUCUUUCUCCAAACUCCAUUUGCUUACCAGACAGUGAUAGCUGAGAAUUCCAGACCACUACUGUGUCAUGUGGACCCUGUCUGCAGGAGAAUGGUCUCUUAGGGCAGGUGAAAUGUUGCCUGUAUGUUCUUCAAUUUGCAUGAGGUGGCUAGAAGGAGGUUUUUAUGUAAGGCACACAACACAUCAUUCUUCAACAAUGUGAGCCUUCAGAUCUGAUGUAAAUAUUUGAGAUUGAAUAUCUAGUUCAUGAUUUAAUUUCAAAAAUUCUAAAGAAAGGUUUCAGAUUUGAUGCUAGGGAUUUUAUUUUUAUCAAUUCAAAUCAACAUUACACUAAUCGUUGGUGGACAUUAUAGGUGACAGUUCUGUUAGAGAGUUAACUAAUUCUUCAGAGGUUCCAAAGACUCUAGGACUCUCACAGCAUUACACAGCAUUCUUGCAGGUAGGAGCAAAGAUGUCUGAGAAGAGUGGGAGCUCAUAGGUGGCCGUCAAACAUAGCUAUCUGAAAAGAUGUAAAUUUAGUAAAGAGAUGUAGAUACACUGUCAGGAAAGGAAGAAGCGUGUUGCUGUACCUCCUGUGACUUAAGUGCUAGAAGAACACUUGUGUCAGUCGAGUCUGCAACUCUUUCUCAGCAUAAUAGAGUUAUUUAAUUUUAAUUCCUGAAUUUUGCACUGUCAUUCCUUAGGUGAUUUAUGGAAAAAGACCUCAGUUUGCUUAUUUUAUGUGAAAGGGGAUUUUAUGAUUUCAUCACAUUUUCUAUUUUCAGAAUCCCUAAUGUGGGUUCAGAAGAUUUUUCUGAUCCAUAGAAAUCUGUGCAUCAGUGAAAUAUGCACACUUUCAAAUAAAACAGAAGCAUUUUCAACCCAAAAAUUCUUUUUAAUACAAGCUAUACGAUCAAGUGUUGAAAUACAAGCAUAAGUAUUU
This is a non-coding RNA of Rattus norvegicus (Norway rat), 5275 nucleotides long. NCBI's taxonomy places the organism in Eukaryota, Metazoa, Chordata, Mammalia, Rodentia, Muridae. The record is from RefSeq and is a predicted model, not a curated record.